GCUUACGGCCAUACCACCCUGACCACGCCCUAUCUUGUAUGAUCUCAGAAGUUAAGCAGGGUCGGGCCUGGUUAGUACUUGGAUGGGAGACCGCCUGGGAAUACCAGGUGCUGUAAGCU
Ribosomal RNA from Cyprinus carpio carpio, 119 nucleotides. Lineage: Eukaryota; Metazoa; Chordata; Actinopteri; Cypriniformes; Cyprinidae. The record is from Ensembl.